This 69-nucleotide transfer RNA is filed under the name Rattus norvegicus (Norway rat). It matches the Rfam family "tRNA". From Rfam's summary of the family: Transfer RNA (tRNA) molecules are approximately 80 nucleotides in length. Their secondary structure includes four short double-helical elements and three loops (D, anti-codon, and T loops). The record is from Rfam by way of RNAcentral. Lineage: Eukaryota; Metazoa; Chordata; Mammalia; Rodentia; Muridae.
GGGGAUUUAGCUCAGUGGUAGAGCACUUGCCUAGAAAGUGCAAGGCCCUGGGUUCGAUCCCCAGCUCCG